AGAACAUUAUGACAAUUUCCAAAAAGACCAACUGACAGUUUGCAGAUCAACUCACUGCAAACUGUGUAAGACCUCUAAAACAAGAGCGGGCCUGCAUUAUAAGCACAGUAAAAUUGUGACAGACUGAACUGUUCAAUGAUUAGGAUUCAUUGAAAUGUAUGUACCUGACUUUGUGAAGUGCCUUGAGACGACAUGUGUUGUGAAUUGCUGCUAUAUAAAUAAACUGACUUAAAAUCACCUCACAUGCCAGAAACUGUUGCUAAAAUUAUUAAACAAAAGUUUUCUGCUCCAUAAACUAAUGCCCAUUUUCCACUAGUCCCUACUCAGCAUGGUUCGGCACGGCUCUACUGGCCUUUUAGGCUUUUCCAUUAGUAACGGUUACGUGAAACCAGUCACUAAACACAACAUAUUAGAAUAACUAUUAUCUUCAACCUUUAGAUCAUUGUACACUUGGCUUAUUAUGUAUUGACCGCUAUAGCAAGCUAACAUUACCCUAACCUAACACAUCCUCUGGCUUGUACCCUUCAGUUUGAUGCCGCUCCAUAGCUUCCAUCUUUCUCCUGUACUCUAUCCAGAAUGUUUGUUUUGCUGCCCCCAGUCAAGGUGGUUGUUAUGUUUGUGUCACUACAAAUCACAUCACGGUACUUUUUUGGACUGUGGUGCCACUUUGCUAUUGAUGAUCCAUCCCACAUUGAAUUGGUACUCAACUUUAACGGGUAACCAACCAAACCUUGUAGAGCUGACCUGAGUAGAGUAGGUACUAAUGGAACAGGGGUAUAAGAUGUUCAGCUGCAGUGCAUAAGGCUUGAGGACUUUAAAGAAGGUCCGCCUGGACCCAGGAUUGCUUCUUGUUAAGGAAGGUGCAUUAGAAUUGUGUUGCCACAAUUUAAGAGCUUGAUCAACUUCGGCAGCAUGGAGGUUUGAGUGCAUCUGGUGAGAUCAUGACUUUUGCACAAAGGCUUUGUGACAAAAGGGCAGCAAAGAAGCCACUUCUGUCCAAAAAAAUCAUGAAAGAAAGGCUGGAGUUCUGCAGGAACUAAAGUUCCACCCCAAAUAAAUCCACCCAAAUUGCAGAUAAGGUAUACUGGUAAAGCUUAUUAACUAGCAGCUGUUUGCAAUAAACUAAUUAAACAAACAAAAAAAUAAAAUAACUCAACACUAAUUAUAUUUUCAAAAAUAUUCAACACAAAUGCCACUUUUAUUGUCUACUGUAGUCUCUUUAAUAUUUAGUAGAGAAUCCAUUGGCUGUUAUAAACAGCUGAAACUUGAUAUAUAUCCAGACAUCAGCUUGUGGCAGCGUUCCUGGGGAAUCUUAGCACACUCCUCAUGGCCAAAAGCCUCCAGUUUAAUAAUAUUCUUGGCUUAAUGCGCUCCAGUCAGCUUUUUAGAUGCCAGCAGAGAUUUUCAAUACAGUUUAUGUCUGUCACUUAGUAUUUUCCAGGACAGUUUCCGCAAAGCCGUAUGAGAUACACUUUGUGAGAUAUGCUGGAACCUUUCAUUGCCCAUGCAGAAAGAGGAAGCUAUCACUGACUGUCACUAGGUGGUAUGGCCACUGUUUCUUUAACUUUUAAACUAUGCUUCCAGCUGGGUCUGUAGGAACAAUCAGGGUCUUUGCUUUCUUUAUCUUUUUAUCUUUCUUUGCUUGUUUUCUAAAUCCAAUGAUCUCCUCACUGAACUUCUUGGAAACUUUACUUAGCCAUAUUUCUAACAUGAAAUGAAAUGCUACCAUUACCAGGCUCAAUAUUUGAGAAGUUUCGUCUAAGGCACACCUGAUGCAUCUAAUGAAGCCUUUGACUGGUGAAUGAGACCUCAGCUGAUUUGCAAAGUGUGCUCUUACGCACAGUUGGGGCCAGCCCCAGGUUGAACAAAAUGGACUGAACUACACACAGAGGACAAAGGACACAGCACUAGAGGCCCUUUUUUCCAUUUUCUUCAAUAGGAGGUAGACAGGAAAGAGGGCAAAGAGAGGUGGAGACAUUCAGCACAGGUCUGGGACUUGAACCCGGGACAGCCACAUCGAAGACUAUAGCCUCUGCACUUGGUUGUUCACUUAACCCCUACACCACCAGUGCUGUUCUCCUCGCACUUCCCCCUCUGGACUCCAGAAGUAACUCCCUGGGAUGUGCCUUAGUGUACCGGCUGCUGGCUCUCCCGUUGCCCUCCUUUUGUCUGCUGCUGGAUUUCUCUCGGAUGUUCUCUCAUUCACCUGCCUGUCCGCCCUUCCACGCUCUCCAGUGGCAACACGCUUCUCCUUAGAUGAUCGCAUCACCUCCUCCAGCUCAUUUCCUCUCGCCAGCAACAAUAAGAAACCAAGCAAUAUUCAAAACAUUGUCAUACUAUAACAUUCCUCUGGUUGCCAAUGUUAACCCCACUCUCUCCUCUGUGCUUUUCCUGGAGGCCUGUGUGGGACCCACCUUGAAACUCUACUUGUUUGUCUGUUUAAUAAACCCAAUUCAACUAUCCA
Long non-coding RNA from Girardinichthys multiradiatus, 2464 nucleotides. RefSeq lists it as uncharacterized. The record is from RefSeq and is a predicted model, not a curated record. The transcript is spliced from 2 exons. NCBI's taxonomy places the organism in Eukaryota, Metazoa, Chordata, Actinopteri, Cyprinodontiformes, Goodeidae.